This 497-nucleotide ribosomal RNA is filed under the name uncultured bacterium. RNAcentral's name for it is "partial 16S ribosomal RNA". It matches the Rfam family "Bacterial small subunit ribosomal RNA", at positions 28 to 507 of the family's 1533-position model. The record is from RNAcentral.
GAUGAACGCUGGCGGCGUGCUUAACACAUGCAAGUCGAACGGUGAAGCGCCGACCUUGUUGCUGGGAGUGGAGGAGUGGCCAAGGGAUGAGUAAGACGAGAGUAACCUUCUAACUCCUGCUGAAUAACCGCAAGAAGGAGUGGCUACUACAGGAUAUUCUGGACCUGUUGGAUGAUGGGUGUAGGACGGAUUUUGUGUCAGUGGGGGAUGGGUCCGCGCCGCAUUAGCUUGUUGGUGAGGUAAUGGCUUACCAAGGCGGCGAUGCGUAGCCGACCUGAGAGGGGGGUCGGCCGCAACAGAGGUGAGACGCGGUCCAGACGCCUACGAGAGGCAGCAGUAGGGAAGAUUACGCAAUAGGCGGCGGCAUGACGGAGCAACGACGCGUGGGGGGUGAAGGUCUUCGGAUCGUAGUAAUCUGCUUUUGGGAAAGAAGCAGUGUGGCAUUAACUGUGGGUGUGUUGACGGUAGCUGGAUAAGAAGCGACGGCUAACUACGUG